RNAcentral lists this ribosomal RNA (407 nucleotides) under uncultured bacterium. Its description in RNAcentral is "bacterial SSU rRNA". It matches the Rfam family "Bacterial small subunit ribosomal RNA", at positions 28 to 426 of the family's 1533-position model. The record is from RNAcentral.
GACGAACGCUGGCGGCGUGCUUAACACAUGCAAGUCGAACGAGAGGACAAGAGAAGCUUGCUUCUUUGGAAUCGAGUGGCAAACGGGUGAGUAACACGUAAACAACCUGCCUUCAGGAUGGGGACAACAGACGGAAACGACUGCUAAUACCGCAUAAGACCACAGUACCGCAUGGUACAGUGAUCAAAGGAGCAAUCCGCUAAAAGAUGGGCCCGCGUCUGAUUAGAUAGUUGGUGGGUAACGGCCUACCAAGUCGACGAUCAGUAGCCGGACUGAGAGGUUGAUCAGCCACAUUGGGACUGAGACACGGCCCAGACUCCUACGGGAGGCAGCAGUAGGGAAUAUUGCACAAUGGAGGAAACUCUGAUGCAGCCAUGCCGCGUGUGUGAAGAAGGCCUUCGGGUUGG